Regulatory RNA element from Photorhabdus luminescens, 120 nucleotides. It matches the Rfam family "RtT RNA". From Rfam's summary of the family: This family represents a bacterial cis-regulatory element known as RtT RNA. The exact function of RtT is unknown although it is thought that it may be involved in changing the cellular response in relation to amino acid starvation. The record is from Rfam. NCBI's taxonomy places the organism in Bacteria, Pseudomonadati, Pseudomonadota, Gammaproteobacteria, Enterobacterales, Morganellaceae.
AGUAAGAACAGUUGGCUUUUAAUCAAUUGGUCGCAGGUUCGAGCCGAGCGAAGCGAGACAACAGCGCGUGAGCGCUGGCCCGCAGCAAAAGAAGUCACAAACAAUGAGAACACUCAAACU